GUGAUAAAUAAUGGUUGCAUCGAAUUCCUGGGCCGCUUGCUUUCUUCAGGUCUUAAUGCAAAACAAAACAUUCACCUCUGACAAUCCUGAUGCCGGUGAAGUCCUCAAUGAAUGGUAACUGCUGCUUUUAUGUUAAAACACGGCUGCGAAGUAUGUCACAUGUCGUGAGACGGUAAGACCGGGGGUGCUUGCGCAGAAACACCGACGAGGAGACGCGCUUCUCAGACAGUGCAUUUGGGAUGGGUUCCUCAACCCGGGCAGGUGGAGAUCCGCAGAGCCUGGGAGGGGACUGUCUCGUGACAGGGGAUGGAGAAGGGGCAAAGGACAACAAAGGGAGUGGAGAAAGUUUUCGGGAGUGAGCAGAAUGGAGAAGCGAAGAAGAGGGUUUCAUACCCACAUUGCCCAGGUGAGACGCAAAGGAUCAGCCGAGCCAAGUCAUGUAACGGAAAAAUAAACACACAAAGAAAUACGCCUCGGGGCCGGGAGGACAUGUUAGGGCCCCUUCCCGAGGCUUCUGUCCUCGCCUCUCUUCUCUUCUCUGGGAGGAAGUGCUAAGAAAGAAGGAAAAAACUGCAAGAUCCUUUCGGUCUCGCUCGGCAUUUGUCGGGUCUUUUUCUGACUCCCCCGUCCUGCGUACAAGAGCAAGAGCAAGGGUUGCACGCUUUGUCAGAGAGAGGGAGAAGCUGCACACGUUCCGGGUGUCUGCCGAGACCUGGGAUCCCAGCACACGUGGGACUGUCACGGCGGACACGUUCUCGGCACAUUCCCAGCUCCGACUCGGCGCCUCCUCUGAGUUCAGGCACUGGGACCCUAACUCCAGGAUCUCAGGAUGCGGCAGGUUUUGAAAAUGGCGUCUUCAUAGACAUGAUGGAAUGAGGUCCCCAGGGUGGCCCCGAGCCCAGGGCUGGGUCCUCCUGAAAAGAGGGCGGGAGGACGCGGACACACACAGGGACGCGCUUGUGAGGACACAGGAAGCCUGGGGGGAGCCAGCGUUGCCCACGCUGGGCCUGGGGCCUGCAGCUCCGGGAUGUCCGAAGUUGAAGGGACCAGGCGAGGGGACUUUAAUUUGCAGAGGGAGGGCACAAUUCUGCUCCUAACAGGAAUUAGGCAUGUGGCAAAAUGCGCCUUCUACAACAGUGCUGCGUACACUGGAAAGCAAUGCAUUCUCUCCCUGGUGCAAACUAGGUAAGUGUAUUGCCAGCGUGCGGAUGUGUGUGUGUGUGUGUGAGUGUCAGUGUGCAGGGUGCAUCCACACUUUCUUAGGAGGCAAAGACAGACCCCACUGAACUGGAAAGAGGAUCUCGCUCUGUCCUGGGAAUUAAGGGCUGUGUAGUGUGCUGUUUGCAUUGCAUGGUGUGGUGUUGUGCGCCAUUGUGUUGUGUUGCACACCAUCCCCGAGAUGUGGCAGGGAAUCGGUAGUGGCUAGAAUUCACACAUGGCACACAUGCACUAAAAAGUCAACUCUGCAGUGCUUAUGUUGAAAGUUCAAUGUCACGCCAACCACGCUGACAUAUUAAGGGAAAAUUUGAGCAUAAUGCACAAUUUGCGUUUGUGUUUUUUUCAUGAUCACCUCUGCAGAAAAGAAAAAUCAGAAAAGCUAAGUGAGCAAAGGAAACUGCAUCUAAACAGAGUGUUUUACCUGAGAGGGAAAAAGCACUUGUAUGCUCAUCACAAACGGGUAGGAGCUCCUGGAUUUCAUGUGUCUUAGGAGCAUGAUACGCCCCGGGCCAGCUGAGCCCAGGCUCCUGGCUGGCUCACUUCCAGCCUUCUCCAGCAGAUAUUUUUCAUUUAUUCUUAUCUUUUCUCAAUGCUUUCCCACGGAGGAGUUCAUACAUCUGGCCUCUCCAUGAGAUUCUUGAUGCCACAUUUUUCUCCCUGGAAGCUGGUGUGGUGGCCCACACCUGUCAGCCCACUACUCUCUCGGGAGGCUGAGGCAGGAGGAUUGCUGCAAGUUUGAGGUCAGCCUGGGCUGUGUAGCAAGACUGUCUCAACAAAACAAAAAUCAAAACAAAAUAAAGCUGUAUGCUUCUGUCCGUGGGAGAGAGACAUCCAUUUCCCUAUCGGCUGUGACAGGCUGGUGUAAACUUUGGAAGCCAGCAACUAUUCGCUUCUUUUUUAUUUUUAGGAGUGCAUAUUUACAACACGUAACGAUUGCAUUCCUCAUGGGGAGGUGGGGUGUGCAUAAUGCAGCUUAAUGCUUUUACUUCUCUUUCUCCUCCUCUCCAUCUUUUUGUCCCCUUCUCAUUUGAGAAAUACCUGUUUCUCUACUUCUUAUUACCUCUCUUUUAUUUUGCUAUUUAUCUAUACUUUCUGUUGCUGAUGUAAGAGAAACCAUGUGAUACUGAAGCUCGUGCAUCUGAUUUAUUUCACUUAACAUUGUGGUUUCAAAGUGCGUCUGUUUUCCUACAAAUGACUCAAAUUUUUCCUUCUUUAUGACUGAGUAGUACUCCAUUGUGUGUAAAUACACUAGACCCUUGACUUAUGAACUCAAUCCAUGCCUGAGAGUGGGUUGUAACUCAAGUUGGUCAGUGGAGGCUCAGCUCCUCCACACAGCCUUCAGAGUCUCUCUCCUGUCCACAGGCAGAGCUCAGUGUCCUUGGAGACACCCUGGCUCAGGAUUUCUCAGUGAACCCCACGCAGGACAGGGUGCUGUCCUGUUCCUUUCACAGCUCUUUAGGGUUCAGUCUGUACCGGAGACAAUCUGGGAGCACAAGCGGCCAGUAUUUGGGUCGUAACUCAAGACUUUGGUCGUAAGUCAAACCCAGGAUCUGGUCAUGAUCCAAGUUGUUCUUAUGCCAGACCGGUCGUAACUCGAGGGUCCAGUGUAUCACAUUUUCUUGCUUUGCCUUUUUCUCUUUGGUCUUUAGGCAUUAGGGUGAGGUUGAGGGUAAUUUUGUCUGGAGGAGUUGAAUUUGGACUUCAAGACUGUGAGGUGUGUGUGUGUGUGCGCGUGUGCGUGUGUGUGCAUGUGUGUGCGUGUGCAUGUGUGUGCGUGUGUGUGCGUGUGCAUGUGUGAGACAGCAUGUUCUUUGGGGUCGGAGUUGCAGUGCGAGACAUGCAGACCCUGGAGCACUCUCGUGUUCUAGAGUGAGACUCCUCGCCCACCGUCCUGUCCCGUUUCUGGGAACCACACACUGCAGCGCAGUUGUUUGUUGAGUGCUUGUGAGGCGAGACCACCCCCCGGCAGCUGGACAGGUCCUCACAGGGAAAGAUGAGCAGCAUCCCGUCACACGUCUCGAUGCCCGGCUCGAAUUUCGUUCCUUCUCUGUUGGAAGGUGCAGCUUAUCUGACCGGAAGCCUCUUCGGGUCUCACUAUGGUGCUGAAUUGCCAACCUGGACUCACACUUGUGAUCCCCCUGCCUCACCCUCCCUGGAGUGCUGGGAUGACAGGUGUGCACCAUCACACCCCGCUCACAAUUGACUUUUUAAAGUGCUGCUCAUUUUGCCCCAGCUUGAAAAACAGAGACUGAUGAAAUUGUUGCAAGACUGUAGAAGGUUUUUAAUGCUUUGUUGCUGUUGUUAAUCCACCAAGGCAGUAUGCAUUUUCCCGCUGGAGAAAUACCUUCUAAACUGGAUCCAACAUUCUGAGCCCAUUUCUGCCUUGGGACCUACAUCACUGUAGGACUGGAGGAGGGGAGGAAUCUUACCGGAUCCUUUUCGUGUUUAUAUUUACAAUAGAACAAAGGCUGGGGCAGGCAUUCUGCAAUUUCUGCUUUUUCUUUUGAUGCAUGAAACAGUAACCUUCCACUGUGUUGUUUACGUGUGGAACUGAGCAUGUUUUGUAAGUGCUGUGCUAGAGAUCGUGAGGCUGAGGGGUGCACAGGGCUAGAUGGAGCCCCAGACUGGCUUCGGGGACAUUUUGCAGCCUCGAUCCCACUGCCCUAAGCUGUCCAUGGCUCUGAAGUUCAUUCCCCUCCUCAGACCCUAUUCUCAGGACAGAAGCUGGUAACAGACAGGUGCAGAGGUUCAUUUUUACCAAUGUUUUAAAAUCUUUUGUCAGUGUGUGUUACUUGCACCCAUUCACGAAUUCCGGUGUGAUAUCUCCAUACAUCCACGCAGCACGUACAAAUCCAAUGGAAAGUCCAACUUCUCCCAUCCCAUCUCCUUCCCAGUCUCUAAGGAUUGCUAUUCUCCUUUUAGCUUUGCCAUGUGACAGAGGACACACGACAUUUGUCUUUGUGAGUCUGGCUUAGUUCAUUGAACACAGUGGUCUCCAGCCCCAUCCGCUUUUGUGUGUAUGAUAUGUCAUCCUCCUCCGUUGGCUUCUUUGUGAUUCUUUAGGACCAGAGAGUGCCAACACCAUGUGUAUGGACCCCACCGUGUCUUUAUCCAUCCAUAUAUGGAUAAGGCUGGUUCCUCAGGCUGGUUCCUUAUCUUGGCUCCUGGGAGUUGUGCCAUGAUAAACAUGGGCAUGGAGGGCCAAGGAUUUAGCUCAGUGGUUUCACCACCUGCUGCGCAAGCGCAAGGACCCGAGUUCAAUCCCUGGUACCAAAAAAAAAAAAACCCCAAAAACAUGGGUAUGGAAGUCUCAUUACUGUUCUAACCACAUUUCCUGUGGGUAUGUGAUGUCUGAGUUACUUUCCAUCACAGUGACAAAAUAACAGACAUACACAACUUAAGGAAGGAGAGGUUUAAGUUGGCUGUUGGUCUCAGAGGGUUCAGUCCAUGGUCUGCUGCUCCAAGGCAGGAACAUCAUAGUGGAUGGCAUGGAGGAGGAAAGAUGCUCACAUCAUGGUGGCCAGGAAGGAGGGGCAGGGGGACUCACGGUUCUCAUGGUCUCAGAGGGUUCAGUCCGUGGUCAGCUACUCCAAUGAUCUCAGAGAGUUCAGUCCAUGGUCAGCUGCUCAAAUGGUCUCAGAGGGUUCAGUCCAUGGUUGACUACUCCAAUGGUCUCAGAGAGUUCAGUCCAUGGUCAGCUGCUCCAAUGGUCUCAGAGGGUUCAAUCCAUGGUCGGCUGCUCCAAUGGUCUCAGAGGGUUCAGUCCAUGGUCAGCUGCUCCAACGGAUUCCGAGGGUUCAGUCCAUGGUCGGCUGCUCCAAUGGUCUCAGAGGGUUCAGUCUAUGGUCGGCUACUCCAAUGAUCUCAGAGAGUUCAGUCCAUGGUCGGCUGCUCAAAUGGUCUCAGAGGGUUCAGUCCAUGGUCGGCUGCUCCAAGGCAGAAACAUCAUGGUGGACGGGCAUGGAGGAGGAAAGAUGCUCACACCAUGAUGUCCAGGAAGCAGAGAGAGAAGGGAGGAGCUGGGACAAGAACUCACCCUUCCAGGUCAUACCCCAGUGACCUCCUCCAGCCAGGCCCCACCUCCUGCAGCUCAUUCACCAGGAGCUCAUCCGUGAUGCAUCCACUGAUGAGCACAGUGCCCCAUGACCCAGUCACCUUCCAAAGCCACUCCUGUGAAUACAGGAGAUUUGGGGAGACAUUUUUGAUCCAUUGACCAAUAUCCUGGGUAAUCAAGUUCCAGUGCAGGUAUUUGAAGUUCACUCAAUUAAAACUGGCUGAAGAAAAGCCAACUGACUCUCUAGAAAAGAAUGAACUGAGUGUAUUUCAUAACUCAUGAGUUGCAAACUGAGCAACAUACAAAGAAUCUGAAGCCUCACGUUAUGAAGUCAAAGGGAAACAAAGGAAACAAAGAAAAAUAUGGGCUCAAGGAGCUCGUGCAAGUCUGAGUGCAUUCUUCACUCACAAGGUGAGGUAACAAAUGAAGCACAGAAGGCCUCGUAUGUUCCUCUGACUUUCCACCACAUCUCCUGUAGGGUUCGACCCUCGUGUUCUGAGUGCUCGAGCACUCCUCCCAAAGCGUAUCAUAACAGAGAUAAGAUGCGCCAUUCCCAGUGCAGGUUUUUAAGCUAUAAAGUUGUCCCCACGAGCUUCACAUUUGCUUUUACCUGAUGCAACUUCAGCUCAUAGGUAGCUGUCUUGGUUACUUUUCUCUCAUUGCUGAGACAAAAUACCCAACACCCAAAGGUAAAGGAGGAAAGGUUUAUUUAGCUCACUGUUUGUGGAGGUUUCAGUCUGUAAUCAGCUGGCUCCAGUGCAGGGUAGAUGCAGAGGGGCGUCGCAGAGGAGAAACAAUCCACGGCAUGACAGGCAGAAGGCAGCAAAAGCAGCAAGGGACCUUAGCAGUUUCUUUCUGCGCCUUUUAUGCUCUCUCUGGGCUCCUGGGUUUAGGGCAGUGCCAAACCAAUCAGUGGACUGAUUUAGUAAUCAACCACCCUGCAUCCCAGCAUUGCAUCCUGCAUCAGUCACACACUGGAUCCAGCCACCUCUGAAAAAGUCUGCAUGAGGCUUUGGGCGGACAGCUAGACACAACGCAGAGCAGAAGCAAACCCAGGAGUUGGGCUCUCUGGAACACUCUGUUAAAAGGGGAAUAGAUUCUCACUUUCUCUGAAUUCUGGGCCUUUUAUUGUGGGUAUUUACAGCAAGGAUAGUGGUUCCUUUUUUCCCACAACAUCUCUGGAGUUGGUGGUGGAACCAUAUGGCUGCCCAGUGUCUACAACCUGCCUUUGAAUCCUACCUUGGGAUCCUCAUCGAGUUCCAGUUAUGGUUGAUAUGUUGACCACCAUGGGAAGGGAAAUGGUAUCAAAGAGAAAUUUCUUUCUCCUUCCUUCCUUCCUUUUUUAAAAAAUGCUAUUGAUUAAACCCAGCACCUUGCACAUGCUACCAAUGUGCUCUACCACUGAGCUACACCUCUACUCCUUUAAUUUAUUUUGAGACAGAGUCUCACCCACUUGCCCAGGCUGGCCUGAAACUUGCAACCCUCCUGCCUCAGAUUCCUUCGUAGCUGGGAUUACAGGCCCUCACCCAUCGCAGGCUCAAAGAGCAAUUUCUAGAUGCCAAGCACAGCCUGGCUAAAUGACCUUGGUACCAUAUAGCACUGAGAACAAAGUACUGAGGUGUGUUCUGACCCCCUCGGCAGCACGACCUGAAAAGUUAAGCAUGGCUGUAACUUCAUAACGAAAGUGUGCAGCUAACAGUAAUAACCUGUAGAUCGAACUAAUAUCCACAUUCCCAGAAUAGGAAUAGAGGGAAAUAAUGGGUCAAAAUUUGAAAGUACAGUGAAAACACAAAAAGAAAGAAGCAAGCCACCUUAUUUGCCAGUUUAAAAAGUUCCUUGAAGGUGGGCCUGGAGGCUCACACCUGUAAUCCCAGCUCUUGAGAGGCUGAGGCAGGAGGAUUGCUGCGAGUUCGAGGUCAGCCUGGGAUACAGAGUGCGUUCAAGGCCAGCCUGGGAUAUACAAGCAAGGCCCUCCCUGUUCAAAAAUCCAUUCAAAAGUCUUGCAAAACACUGAAUUCUGUAAUUUCAUAAAAGCCAAUUUCUUGCAAAACAAUUCUACCGCCCCAAAACAGAAAGUAAUGGAAUCCAUUCAUUUUACAAUCAGCAAUGGCAUCUGUCUAAUAGAGGAUUAUGUUUUUUAAAUUGAUGGCACCUUGCAGAAUUCAGUUUGUUUUUUGUGAACGCAGCAGGCUUUCAUCCGAGUUUAUGAACAGAACUAGCCAGUGGGCAGUGUUGGAGACGCAAUUAAACACCGCCAGAAGACCCGAAACGGGAAGACCUUGUCUAAUCCCUUUCUGCACCGGGCCGGGGAAAUCUCUUCUGGCAAAGUCUGGUCCCGCUGCAGAGGGUUAAGUGUUGGCUGUAAAUUUCCUGAGUCUGUACUUCAUCAUUAUUUUCUUUCAACGGGAGCUUUUAUGCUCUUCACAAAUUGAAGAACCGCUCUGGAGUUCACACGCGGCCGGGACACAUGGUGGUCCUAAUUUUCCAGGGUCACCAACCCAGAAAUGUUCAUUAUUUACAUGGCUCCUUGCUAAACUGGAUUCCUCUCUUAAGAAAAGUGGUCAUGAAUGGAGGUCAAGCUUGGACCGUGGACAUUUACUGGAAAAUGAAACAAAAAUAAAAGAAAUAAGUUCUGAUUCUCUUUAGAAUAAGUCUUACAGGUAAGUUUGGUUUCUCGGUCGGAUGCCUUCUUAGUCAAGCAAAGCGAAACGCUAGUAGCUGUGUGUGUCCACCCUGCAUUUCACCGUGGCUUUGUUUCUAAAAGAAAAUUUCUAAGUCAAGUGCUAAUUUGUUUUUGCCCUUAGAAAAAUUGAGAGUAGUGGUAAAUGCAAAGGUGGGGACAAUUGAGGACCAGGACAUCUCAGAUCCUCUUGGAAAUAAGUAAGAAAACACUCGCACCUCUUCAAGGCAAAGCUAGGUGUUUUGUCCCUUACACGUUUCCCAUCUGAUCUUCAUGGCAAUCACAAUAUUGUCACUUUUCCUCUUGCUUUUACAGGUAGGAAAGCCAAUGUGAAACAGGAAAACUGAAUCCAAAUUCAUCCAGCGUAAAAACCCAUGUAAUAUUUUCUUCCCUCUGGAAACGGGGGUGUCCGUGUACUUGACGUGGUUUGCACCAAAACUUAGGCAUGUGGUCCUGCCUGGGAGUUAAACAGGCACACGGAUUUCUUUGGAGAUUUCCAGUUCUUCGAAUGCGAUUUGCAAAAGCCAGAUUCUCUUGUGUGUAGGCUGAGCUGUCUCCCAGAAAACCAGGGGGAGAAGCCAGGCUGUAAAAAGCCCCCAAAGCAUGCAGCGCUCAGUCCUGCGGGUCGGGUUAGGGGCCAGGACUGGGUGUGGUUGUUUCCAAGGGGGAAAAAUUGGUGGAAAAAUACAUGAAUUACUCCCAAGCUACUGGCUGGGUUGGUAUUAUUUAGAAAAGAGUCAACGCGCCUAAUUCGUUCCAGAAGCCUGCUUAUCCAAACAAUGAACGCACUUCAGGCCCCCUCAGGUGAGUCAUCCACGGCCCGUCUCUGCUUUGGAUCAUUGAACUCUCUGUCCACCCAAAUCCAAGACCCAGCUCUGCAAUCAGGUUUUUUUUAUUGUUGUUUUUUUUGCAACCAUUUUAAAAGAGACAUAAAAUAAAACGGAGAGGAAACUCGAUGCCGAGAAACACACAGAGCUGCACACAUCUGGGUUUGAUUGGGGCUGUGUUUUUAUUUCCAUGUUGCAGCUUUCAUUUUUCCAAAUGACCGAUGGGUGAAAAAUUUUUAAUGGCUGUAACCCUUUUUUUCCAACCGACAACGGCGAUCCGGGCUGUCAGAGCCCCAACCACGUUGCACGGUUCUGCGAAAACAUAUCAAGGAUAGAAGUCUCCCGUCCUUACAAAAGCCCUGCUUAAUUGAUCGCGUAUGCUAUAGGGUGGCCACGUCUCCAUGUCUCACAUGACCGUGUGCAGCCUGGGGUAAUAACAGAGCCCAGGAUCCAUUUAAUAAGGCAAGUGCUGGAUAUUUGAAUUGGGGAGAAAAAGAGGCAAAAUAGAUAGAUAGAUAGAUAGAUAGAUAGAUAGAUAGAUAGAUAGAUAGAUAGAUCAACACAGGCUAUAUUCAGUGUACACCUCAUCUCAAAUAAUUAUUUUCCACAAUAAUGAGAUUUGAUUUUCUUUCUGUUCCCAAACACAGAGAAUAGCUGUCUUAAUCCCUAUGGGAUACUCUAACAAAAUACUAUAGACUAUGUAUAUUUUAGACAGCAGGGCUUGGUGCCCAGUCCUGGAGUUUGAGGUUCACUGUACUGGUCUGUUCCUGUCUCUGUCCAUCAGGGCCACCAUAUGCAAUCCCACAGCCCAGGCGGCUGACACACAGCAGGGCUUGGUGCCCAGUCCUGGAGGCUGAGGUCCAAGGUCCAGGCGUAGCAGAGCCCGUGUCUGGUGAGGCUGCUUCCCGGGUCCCAGGUGGCGCCUUCUUGCUGUGUCCUCACCUGGUGGAAGGCAGGGGGCUCUCUGAUCCCCUCCACGAGGCUCCACCCUCAGGACCCCAGCACCUCCCAGAGCACCCAGCCCUGACCCCACCACGUUGGGGUCAUUGGGAUGAGGGGUCAACAUGUGAAAUCUGUGAAGAUUCAGAGCUACUCCACUCAAGGAGAUCAGAUUAAUUUAGGGAGAUCAAGGGGAAAAAAUAUGUCCAAUUUUCUAGAAAAUAUAGAACCCAGAAAUACAAGUGUUCAUCUCUACUUCUACGGAUGGCAAAACCCUACAUAAAGAGAAGUCUGCUGAAGGUGAAGUUCUGGGAUGAUGAUUUAUUUUCCCAUUUCUCCCAAGUUGCUUCAGGUGGUGUACGGGUGCAAAGAAGUUAAUCAUAUUGAUAAUUUCUGGUGAAAUUGUGUAUAACUUUAUACUAACAUUCCAUAAUGGUUAAUUUUUUUUUUUUUUUUUUUUUGCAGGAGGUUGUCAAACCCGGAAUCUGUGUACUGAGCUACAGCACUGGCUUUAUUUUAUUUUAUACCCACAUAUUCCCAAUGGCAAUUUUAGCCCUGCUUUUGGGCUGCCACCCAUCCCAUAGGAUAAAGUGUAGAAUUUCCCACUGCUUUCAUGUUCUGAGUUCCAAAAGUUAUAAGUUUUGGAGUAUAUUCGUUUUCUUAUUUUCAGAUUAUGGAUUUCAACCCUGUGGGUUUGUUUUUUUUUUAAGUGUUGGAUAAAUCUGGGGUCAGCAGCACACACAACUGUCAUCCCAGUGCUUUGGGAGGCCGAAGCAGGAGAGUCCCAAGUUCCAUCCCAGCCUGGGGAACUUAGUGACAACGCUUAGACUGUCUCAAAAUUUUAAAAAUUUAGAAAGGGAUUGGGAUGGAGAUCAGUGUGAAGGCCUUGGGUUCAAGCCUCACAGUGAAAAAUUUUAUAAAUAAAUAAAUAACAAUUUUGUCCUUUCAAAAAAUAACUGUGCUCCAUAAAAAGCUAUGUCUUCAGCUUUUGUUAUUUUAGUGAUUCACAUUAAAUUUAAUAUGUGUCUUAUUAUUAGCAGGAAGACACUAAAACUAUGCUUUCCACUCUCCUAGAAGGAGACAGUAUUUCCGACUCUGAUUACUUCCUUUGCCUCCAACAAGUUAUUGGGACAUUAAUUUUGUCUCCACCUUCUUUUCUACCUUCAAGUGAGCCAUAAUGUUACUGAUGGGGACUAUGGAGGUUCACCUAGCUGUAGGAAUUUCCCAAAGCAGUGGUGCUGUAUGCGCCCAGUGCUGGCUGGGAUUUAUAUUCUGCUUUCUUCUUCUUCGUCCUUCUUCCUUCUUCCUUCCUUCUUCUUUCUUCUUUCUUCUCUCAGCACCGGGGACUGAACCCAAGGCCUUUGCACACAACUCCAUCCCAGCCCCUCUUUGUAGCUCAUUUGGAGACAGCGUCUGGCUGAGUUGCUCGGUUGCCCAGACGGGGUCCACACUAGCUACGCUCCUCCCUCAGCCUCCCCGAGUGUGGGUCGGUUCCUGUUUUCCCCCAGCAUUUCUCAUUCCCUGUCCAUCCUGCUGAUCCUGGUGUCUUCCUCUUCCUGAGGAAAGUUCUCUUUAGGAACCAGUCCUUUCUGUCCGCAUUUGCUGUGCGGAGUCGAGACCUGACCCCAUCCUGCUCAGCGCUGAAGAUGGAAAUCUUUCUCUGCAGGUGUUUCUAAACUUUGGAUUUUUGAAAUCAUGAUGGACCCCAGGGAGCUAUCACUUGCUAUUUCUAUUUCUCUCUCUCUCUCUCCUUUGUUAGAAAAAUGUACACGUUUUCUCUCUCUACAAAUUCAGGUUUUCAAGCAGACUAUCUUGAAAUUCAUUCAAAAAAUAACUUGGUAGUCAAAGAGGAGGCAUGAUCUUUCUUUCUUUCUCUUUCUUUCUCUCUUUCUUUCUUUCUUUCUUCACACAGGGUCCCGUUAUGUAUCCAUGGCUGGCCUCAAACUUUCCAUUCUCCUGCCUCAGCCUUCCUUAGCCAGCACACAGCCCGUUGCCCUGGGAAUCCCAAGAUUAUGGUAUGAUGUGAUAGAAGCCAUGAUCAACUGGCAUCCUGGGGAUUUAUUAUGGCUCCACUGGGGACAAUCCCAUACUGGCAUGGGAGCCAAAGGCAGGAGGAGGAGGUGCCCUGCUGGGGAAACACCUACAACAGCCAAAUCUUGGAAGUGGACUGUAUGUCUAUCAGCUGAUACAUGCAUAAAGAAAAUGUGGUGUUUACACACAAUGGAGUACUAGUCUGCCGUGAAGAAGGAUAAGCUUGAGGCACAUGUAGGAAAAUGGAUGCACGUUGAGACCAUAAUGUUAAGCAAAAUAAAUCAGGCACACGAGCUUCAGUGGGGCAUGGUUUCUCUUCUAUGAGAACUCCAACGUGUAAAUAAAGAGCACAAUAAAAGACAGAAAAUAGAAAGGAGGGAGAUGAAGCUUUUGCACGUGAGAAGCGGACCAAAAGAUGCAGGGGUGGAAAGGGCAGGCGGGAAGCAAACAGGAUGAAGUUGUCCGUGCACCACGUUCCCACGGUGAAGGCAACAUUACAGACAGCAAACACAGACUAACGGAAAGCAAACACAAACCGAAAGACAGCUCAGUGUCAGGUGCGGACAACGCAGUGUCUUGCUCUGGAAUCCUGCACACCCGGAAGAGGAGCGUGUGGGCAGCGUUUGUUGACUGCCCCACACGAGCCGCGCCAAGGUCCUGUUCAGCCUCACUGUCUGUGCUCCCGUCCCCCGCGGAUCUGGCCGUGACUUUCUCUUCUUCUUCGGAAAGCACAGAAGUUCUUUGCUAAGACCAGGUUGCCAGUCCUUGGGCUCUUUGCAGAAUUCUUUCCUCUUCACCUGAGGACGAGAAGCGUCGGCUGGGGACCUCGUGUGACAAAUGAAUCUCGCAGAGAUGUUUACAGGCUGCUUAAACAAACUGCGGAUCCUUAAUCGAGUUGGGUCAACCGUGUUUAUCCGUGGGGUCCGUGCUUAGGGGCUGGAGAGCAAAUCAACAAAUACAAGUCGGGCAUCGCUGACCCGGGAAGGGUCUCCAGGGUGGGAAAUGGCAGGGCAACGUGCUUGCCAGUCACUCAAGGUCACCUUGAAAUCUCAGCAGUGGGAGUGGAAAAGUCGAUCUAUUGCGCAUGGUGACUUAAUAAAACUUGGUGAAUCUUCCUCUGGGAUGUGGACUCUCUAAGCAGUUUCGAUGUCCGGGUUAUCUUUUAUUUUGCCCAAAAUAAACUUUUUCUUAACUUGCUUUGGAAUUUGUUUCUGGAAGAAUACUCCCCAGAGGAAAGAGGGUAGCCACGGUUUCUUGAAAACUGCAUUUCUCCUCCCAAAACUCUGUGCUGAGAAUUCAAGUCGCCCCCUGGCUACGGGGCCGGCUGUCUGACACAGUCACCGAAACACGCGGUUUCAUGAAAGCUGCUCCCUUAGCAUCAUCCUCAGGCUCUCAGAUCUGCAAAGUCCCAUAAAAGUAAAAAAUAAAAUUGCAAAGUGAAAUACCUGAGCAUGGAGGCACACACCUGUCAUCCCAGUACUCUGGGAGGCCAGGGCAGGAGGAUCACAAGUUCCAGUCCAGGCUGGGCAAUUUAGCAACUUAGUGAGACCAUCUCAAGUCUCAAAAUAAAAACCGAAAGGAUGGAGCUCAGUGUGAAGGCUCUAGGUUGAAUCCUCAGGACUGCAAAUACACAAAACAAAUUUUG
Heterocephalus glaber (naked mole-rat) is the source of this 13394-nucleotide long non-coding RNA. The record is from Ensembl. Lineage: Eukaryota; Metazoa; Chordata; Mammalia; Rodentia; Bathyergidae.